UACGUAGGGGGCAAGCGUUGUCCGGAAUCAUUGGGCGUAAAGAGCUCGUAGGCGGUCUGUCGCGUCGGAUGUGAAAACCCAGGGCUCAACCCUGGGCCUGCAUUCGAUACGGGCAGACUAGAGUUCGGUAGGGGAGACUGGAAUUCCUGGUGUAGCGGUGAAAUGCGCAGAUAUCGGGAGGAACACCAAUUGCGAAGGCAGCUCGCUGGGACGUCACUGACGCUGAGACGCGAAAGCGUGGGGAGCAAACAGG
Molecule: ribosomal RNA, 253 nt
Filed under: uncultured bacterium
Lineage: Bacteria
Description: partial 16S ribosomal RNA
Rfam family: Bacterial small subunit ribosomal RNA
Source: RNAcentral